CAUAUAACCUGUAAAUAAAAGGCUAUUAAAAUUAAAAUAAAUAAAUCAGCCCUCAAAAUUCACAGCUGUUACUAGCUUCUGUAAAUUCCAGACUGGGGCUCAGCCCAAUGACCACCUUCUAAAGCCACAGCCCAGUUGUCCUCUCACCACUCCAUUAUUUUUCUUGUCCUGAGGGGCUUAAUUUUUUGUUUUAAUUUUUCUCAGCACUGGUUGAUACCCCAGGUUUACCACCCAAGCUCUUUCCAACUGGCCUCUCUCAGAAUUUUCUUAUCCCAAGAGGUUUCAGAGUAGUGAGGAGGAAACAGGUUGCAGGAGAUCUUUUUUCCUCUUUUCUAGGGUCCAGUGACUUUUAAAAAUAAUUUGAUAAUUGCAUUUCAAUAUAAUUGGGUUUUUAAAAAUUCUGCCUAUUUUUAUUUUAUGCAUUUACAAACAAUAUCCUGAGAAGAAUAUUGGCUUCACCAGACAGCCUAAGAACUGAAGAAAUCUUGCUCCAAAGGAAGGUUGCAGGUGCAGGAUCCUAAGAAGAAUGUGGCUCGGGCUGGGAGAUCACAGCAGCUGUCAGCCCAGUCGGAGGUGCCGCCUCCAGUUUGACUAGACAUGAGGGACAAUGAAGGGAAAUAAUGAAUAAAAAAAUCUGGAAAGUCUGGCAAAGAAUAUGGACUUCUCAGAAAAAUGUUUUUGAAUGAAUAAAAUAAAAUAUGAAAGAUUACAAAGGAAACCAAAGGUUAGUGAAAAUAUUUUAUUUUUCCCAUUCAAGUUCAUGGACUUUCUGGACUCUAUCCACACCAGAUUAAGAACCCCUAUAUUACAUGGCAUUUCAUGGACUAAUCAUUUUCCAUAGGUGUCUUUUUUUAAGGGGGGAGGAAAUUGAGGGACAAGGAGAAUUGUAUUUAGUGACAAGAAAAUAUUGGUAAUUUUUUUUUGGUGAGCUUAUUUGGUAUCUCAACACUAUUGAAUUUAUAUAUAAUUUUAUGAACUUUAUGUUGAUUCUCUGUUUUUUUUAAUUAAGCCAUUAUAUUUUCUUCAGUCAGAGAUAUAUCAUAUUCCACUUUAUUAAUGCUAACAUUUCUAGAAUCAUAUAAAAUAUUGUAAAAUAAUAGCAAGACUAAAAUUGUUAUUUCAUCCCUUUCUUUAUUAGAGCAACUUCUGUUUCUCCCUCUACAAAUAAUUGUAGGUCUUAGUUUCAGAUAAAUGUUUAUAUGUUAAGGAAGAACCCUUGUGUUUCUGUACUUUUUGAUAUUUUUAAGCUUAAAUGA
Molecule: long non-coding RNA, 1256 nt
Organism: Sarcophilus harrisii (Tasmanian devil)
Lineage: Eukaryota; Metazoa; Chordata; Mammalia; Dasyuromorphia; Dasyuridae
Exons: 3
Source: RefSeq, a predicted model, not a curated record